GACCGGGAUGGACGUACCGCUGGUGCACCAGUUGUUCCGCCAGGAGCAUGGCUGGGUAGCUACGUACGGACGGGAUAAGCGCUGAAAGCAUCUAAGCGUGAAGCCCCCCUCAAGAUGAGAUUUCCCAGUAUGUAAGACCCCUUGAAGACGACGAGGUAGAUAGGUUGGAGGUGGAAGUGCAGCAAUGCAUGGAGCUGACCAAUACUAAUCGGUCGAGGGCUUAUCCAAAA
The sequence is a ribosomal RNA, 230 nucleotides long. It matches the Rfam family "Bacterial large subunit ribosomal RNA", at positions 2690 to 2925 of the family's 2925-position model.